Long non-coding RNA from Vicia villosa (hairy vetch), 576 nucleotides. RefSeq lists it as uncharacterized. NCBI's taxonomy places the organism in Eukaryota, Viridiplantae, Streptophyta, Magnoliopsida, Fabales, Fabaceae. The record is from RefSeq and is a predicted model, not a curated record. The transcript has 4 exons.
GCCUAACAUGUUGAAUUAACAGCAAGAAAUUGUUUGCUCUAUAGGUCUUGAUGCUGUCAAAUUUAUUGUUAAUCAUGCUCUUGUACAAGUAAUAUUUUGCUUGUCUCAAACAUUAAACUCAGUUUUUCAAAUUGGGUUGCAGUUGGAGAUUAAUUUAUGAAGUUUACAAGGAUUGAUAUUCAUGUAGUUUGCUUCAAUAUGGUAUGAAGCAAAUAUGCAUCUCUACUACAAAUUCAAAUUCACUAAUCAAUGUUGGGGAAAGAGGGAAUCAAAGGCAACAUCUUGACUCAAAUCACUAAUGCCCCACAAUUAAUGAAGCUGGAGAAGACCCACAUGUUGCACAUGCACUGAUUAUUGACAGAAAAACUCUAAAAUAUGCUUUGGAAGAUGAUAUCAAACACCAAUUUUUGACAUUAGUUGUUGAUUGUGUGUCUGUUAUUUGGUAUCAUGUAUCUCCCAAUCAAAAGGCCUAGGUAGCACCAUUUUUCUUUGUAUCAUUUUGGUUUCUAUUUAGUAUUUUUUUACUACAUUUCAUUAGUUGAUCACUAUAAACUAUGCUUCUUAUCUAAGUUGUCA